Molecule: unclassified non-coding RNA, 352 nt
Filed under: Hevea brasiliensis (rubber tree)
Lineage: Eukaryota; Viridiplantae; Streptophyta; Magnoliopsida; Malpighiales; Euphorbiaceae
Source: RNAcentral
GGAAAAUGAUGAAGAAGAACUUCAAAAUUACCAGAUAAUUUGGAGAUUCAAACCCUAGCACUUUUAGCAAUAUUCAAUCUCUUUGUAUUUUUUUGAAUUUUUUGGUGUUUAAAUUUUAUUUUUUUGUUACGUAUAUUUCGUUUGAUUGAUUUCAGCUGAAUAUUCACCGUUUGAUCUUCGAUCGGUUUGAUUCUCUGAUCGGUCGGCGUGGAGUUUUCAGAUCGGAGAUUGUGAGGAAAAGGAAAAAUUCUGUUAAAGCACUAGAAAGUUUUAGAGGAAUCUAGAUAAAAAAAUGCCGUCUCAUGCAGAUCUAGAUCGGCAGAUCGAACAAUUGAUGGAGUGCAAGCCGUUA